GCAGUCGAACGAACUCUGGUAUUGAUUGGUGCUUGCAUCAUGAUUUACAUUUGAGUGAGUGGCGAACUGGUGAGUAACACGUGGGAAACCUGCCCAGAAGCGGGGGAUAACACCUGGAAACAGAUGCUAAUACCGCAUAACAACUUGGACCGCAUGGUCCGAGUUUGAAAGAUGGCUUCGGCUAUCACUUUUGGAUGGUCCCGCGGCGUAUUAGCUAGAUGGUGAGGUAACGGCUCACCAUGGCAAUGAUACGUAGCCGACCUGAGAGGGUAAUCGGCCACAUUGGGACUGAGACACGGCCCAAACUCCUACGGGAGGCAGCAGUAGGGAAUCUUCCACAAUGGACGAAAGUCUGAUGGAGCAACGCCGCGUGAGUGAAGAAGGGUUUCGGCUCGUAAAACUCUGUUGUUAAAGAAGAACAUAUCUGAGAGUAACUGUUCAGGUAUUGACGGUAUUUAACCAGAAAGCCACGGCUAACUACGUGCCAGCAGCCGCGGUAAUACGUAGGUGGCAAGCGUUGUCCGGAUUUAUUGGGCGUAAAGCGAGCGCAGGCGGUUUUUUAAGUCUGAUGUGAAAGCCUUCGGCUCAACCGAAGAAGUGCAUCGGAAACUGGGAAACUUGAGUGCAGAAGAGGACAGUGGAACUCCAUGUGUAGCGGUGAAAUGCGUAGAUAUAUGGAAGAACACCAGUGGCGAAGGCGGCUGUCUGGUCUGUAACUGACGCUGAGGCUCGAAAGUAUGGGUAGCAAACAGGAUUAGAUACCCUGGUAGUCCAUACCGUAAACGAUGAAUGCUAAGUGUUGGAGGGUUUCCGCCCUUCAGUGCUGCAGCUAACGCAUUAAGCAUUCCGCCUGGGGAGUACGGCCGCAAGGCUGAAACUCAAAGGAAUUGACGGGGGGCCCGCACAAGCGGUGGAGCAUGUGGUUUAAUUCGAAGCUACGCGAAGAACCUUACCAGGUCUUGACAUACUAUGCAAAUCUAAGAGAUUAGACGUUCCCUUCGGGGACAUGGAUACAGGUGGUGCAUGGUUGUCGUCAGCUCGUGUCGUGAGAUGUUGGGUUAAGUCCCGCAACGAGCGCAACCCUUAUUAUCAGUUGCCAGCAUUAAGUUGGGCACUCUGGUGAGACUGCCGGUGACAAACCGGAGGAAGGUGGGGAUGACGUCAAAUCAUCAUGCCCCUUAUGACCUGGGCUACACACGUGCUACAAUGGAUGGUACAACGAGUUGCGAACUCGCGAGAGUAAGCUAAUCUCUUAAAGCCAUUCUCAGUUCGGAUUGUAGGCUGCAACUCGCCUACAUGAAGUCGGAAUCGCUAGUAAUCGCGGAUCAGCAUGCCGCGGUGAAUACGUUCCCGGGCCUUGUACACACCGCCCGUCACACCAUGAGAGUU
RNAcentral lists this ribosomal RNA (1389 nucleotides) under Enterococcus faecium. RNAcentral describes it as "bacterial SSU rRNA". It matches the Rfam family "Bacterial small subunit ribosomal RNA", at positions 57 to 1412 of the family's 1533-position model. The record is from RNAcentral. Lineage: Bacteria; Bacillati; Bacillota; Bacilli; Lactobacillales; Enterococcaceae.